RNAcentral lists this ribosomal RNA (644 nucleotides) under uncultured bacterium. RNAcentral's name for it is "bacterial SSU rRNA". It matches the Rfam family "Bacterial small subunit ribosomal RNA", at positions 56 to 689 of the family's 1533-position model. The record is from RNAcentral.
UGCAAGUCGAACGGCAGCAUGAUCUAGCUUGCUAGAUUGAUGGCGAGUGGCGAACGGGUGAGUAAUACAUCGGAACGUGCCCUGUAGUGGGGGAUAACUAGUCGAAAGAUUAGCUAAUACCGCAUACGACCUGAGGGUGAAAGUGGGGGACCGCAAGGCCUCAUGCUAUAGGAGCGGCCGAUGUCUGAUUAGCUAGUUGGUGAGGUAAAGGCUCACCAAGGCGACGAUCAGUAGCUGGUCUGAGAGGACGAUCAGCCACACUGGGACUGAGACACGGCCCAGACUCCUACGGGAGGCAGCAGUGGGGAAUUUUGGACAAUGGGGGCAACCCUGAUCCAGCAAUGCCGCGUGUGUGAAGAAGGCCUUCGGGUUGUAAAGCACUUUUGUCCGGAAAGAAAUCGCACUUACUAAUAUUAGGUGUGGAUGACGGUACCGGAAGAAUAAGGACCGGCUAACUACGUGCCAGCAGCCGCGGUAAUACGUAGGGUCCAAGCGUUAAUCGGAAUUACUGGGCGUAAAGCGUGCGCAGGCGGUUGUGCAAGACCGAUGUGAAAUCCCCGGGCUUAACCUGGGAAUUGCAUUGGUGACUGCACGGCUAGAGUGUGUCAGAGGGGGGUAGAAUUCCACGUGUAGCAGUGAAAUGC